This 29-nucleotide non-coding RNA is filed under the name Mus musculus (house mouse). Lineage: Eukaryota; Metazoa; Chordata; Mammalia; Rodentia; Muridae. The record is from RNAcentral.
UCACAUUUCAGGUCGACCUCACAGAGAAU